Molecule: ribosomal RNA, 466 nt
Filed under: uncultured Alphaproteobacteria bacterium
Lineage: Bacteria; Pseudomonadati; Pseudomonadota; Alphaproteobacteria
Description: bacterial SSU rRNA
Rfam family: Bacterial small subunit ribosomal RNA
Source: RNAcentral
GAGUUUGAUCGUGGCUCAGAACGAACGCUGGCGGCAUGCCUAACACAUGCAAGUCGAACGAGACCUUCGGGUCUAGUGGCGCACGGGUGCGUAACGCGUGGGAAUCUGCCCUUGGGUUCGGGAUAACAGUUGGAAACGACUGCUAAUACCGGAUGAUGACUUCGGUCCAAAGAUUUAUCGCCCAGGGAUGAGCCCGCGUCGGAUUAGCUAGUUGGUGAGGUAAAGGCUCACCAAGGCGACGAUCCGUAGCUGGUCUGAGAGGAUGAUCAGCCACACUGGGACUGAGACACGGCCCAGACUCCUACGGGAGGCAGCAGUGGGGAAUAUUGGACAAUGGGCGAAAGCCUGAUCCAGCAAUGCCGCGUGAGUGAUGAAGGCCUUAGGGUUGUAAAGCUCUUUUACCAGGGAUGAUAAUGACAGUACCUGGAGAAUAAGCUCCGGCUAACUCCGUGCCAGCCGCCGCUGU